This 490-nucleotide ribosomal RNA is filed under the name uncultured bacterium. RNAcentral describes it as "partial 16S ribosomal RNA". It matches the Rfam family "Bacterial small subunit ribosomal RNA", at positions 30 to 507 of the family's 1533-position model. The record is from RNAcentral.
AUUGAACGCUGGCGGCAGGCCUAACACAUGCAAGUCGAACGGUAACAGAAAGCAGCUUGCUGCUUUGCUGACGAGUGGCGGACGGGUGAGUAAUGUCUGGGAAACUGCCUGAUGGAGGGGGAUAACUACUGGAAACGGUAGCUAAUACCGCAUAACGUCGCAAGACCAAAGCGGGGGACCUUCGGGCCUCUUGCCAUCGGAUGUGCCCAGAUGGGAUUAGCUAGUAGGUGGGGUAACGGCUCACCUAGGCGACGAUCCCUAGCUGGUCUGAGAGGAUGACCAGCCACACUGGAACUGAGACACGGUCCAGACUCCUACGGGAGGCAGCAGUGGGGAAUAUUGCACAAUGGGCGCAAGCCUGAUGCAGCCAUGCCGCGUGUAUGAAGAAGGCCUUCGGGUUGUAAAGUACUUUCAGCGGGGAGGAAGGGAGUAAAGUUAAUACCUUUGCUCAUUGACGUUACCCGCAGAAGAAGCACCGGCUAACUCCGUG